AUGAAGGUGGAGGUGGUGGACACGACGCUGGUGACGCCGAGCGAGCCGACGCCGCGGCACACGCUGUGGCUCUCCAACCUCGACCUCGCCGUGCCCAAGACGCACACGCCGCUCGUCUACUACUACCCGGCGCCCCCCGCCGGCGACGGCGGCGAGAAGCAGGAAGAGUUCUUCGCGCCGGAGAGGCUGCGGGAGGCGCUGGCGAGGGCGCUGGUGCCGUUCUACCCGCUGGCAGGGCGGAUGGCGACGGGCCCCGAGGGCCGGCUCGAGAUCGACUGCAACGGCGAGGGCGCGCUGUUCGUCGUCGCGCGGGCCGACUUCACCGGCGACGAGAUGUUCCGGGACUUCGAGCCCUCCCCGGAGGCGCGCCGCCUGCUCGUCCCCUUCGCCGCCUCCGGCGACCCGCCCUGCCUCCUCGCCAUGGUCCAGGUGACGUUCCUCAAGUGCGGCGGCGUGGCCGUGGGCACGGGCAUGCACCACGUGACCAUGGACGGCGCGGGCGCGAUCCAGUUCAUCCGGACGUGGACGACCCUGGCGCGCGGCCUGGACGCCGCGUCCGUGCACCCGUCCCCGCCGGUGCACGACCGCACGGUGCUGCGCGCGCGCUCUCCCCCGCAUGCCACCUUCGAGCACCCGGUCUACUCCCCGAGCAACCUCAACGGCCUGCCCCGCCCCUUCGUCACCCGCGUCUACGCCGUGUCCCCCAAGCUCCUCGCCGGCAUCAAGUCCAGCUGCGCGCCCGGCGUGUCCACCUACUGCGCGCUCACCGCGCACCUGUGGCGCGCCAUGUGCGUGGCCCGCGGGCUGGCCCCCGACGCCGAGUCGCGGCUGCGCGUGCCGGCCAACAUCCGGCAGCGCCUGCGCCCGCAGCUGCCGGCCAACUACUUCGGCAACGCCAUCGUGCGGGACCUGGUGACGGUGCGCGUCGGCGACGUGCUGUCGCAGCCGCUGGGGUUCGUGGCGGAGCGGAUCAAGCGCGCGGUGGCGCGGGUGGACGACGCCUUCGUGCGCUCCGUCAUCGACUACCUGGAGGUGGAGUCGGAGAAGGGCAGCCAGGCGGCGCGCGGGCAGUUCAUGCCGGAGACGGACCUGUGGGUGGUGAGCUGGCUGGGCAUGCCCAUCCACGACGCCGACUUCGGCUGGGGCUGCCCCAAGUUCGUGGCGCCGGCGCAGAUGUUCGGCAGCGGCACGGCCUACGUCACGCAGGCGCCCGACAAGGACGACGGCGUGUCCGUGCUGUUCGCGCUCGAGCCAGAGUACCUGCAGUGCUUCGAGAAGGCCUUCUACGGGGAGUGA
RNAcentral lists this ribosomal RNA (1296 nucleotides) under Triticum aestivum (bread wheat). RNAcentral's name for it is "partial small subunit ribosomal RNA". Lineage: Eukaryota; Viridiplantae; Streptophyta; Magnoliopsida; Poales; Poaceae. The record is from RNAcentral.